Molecule: ribosomal RNA, 495 nt
Filed under: Triticum aestivum (bread wheat)
Lineage: Eukaryota; Viridiplantae; Streptophyta; Magnoliopsida; Poales; Poaceae
Description: partial small subunit ribosomal RNA
Source: RNAcentral
AAAAAAUCAGCCUUUUGCUUUUAUUGUUUUCUGUUUAAGCAACCAAGAGCUGAAAACUAUGGUAUUGAAGCAUUCACGAGAAAUGGAUUCAAAUCUUGGAAGGAUGGACCUAAAGUUUUUAAUCAACAUGUUGGCAAGCAUGAUAGUGCUCAUAACAAAUCUAGGCAACAUUAUGAGGAUUUCAAAAAUCAAAGACAAGAUCUGCCACAUGUCUUUGAUAGGGGUUCUCAGAAGCAAGAAGAAGAAUACAAAGCCCGUCUCUUGAUUAUAUUGGGUAUUGUCAAUUUUUUGAUACUACAAGCUCUUGCUUUUCGUGGUCAUGAUGAGCCUACUAGCUCAAUGAAUAAGGGUAACUUUAAAGAAUUGUUGGACUUGUUCAUAAAGAAAGACCCAAAGGUUAUCGCACACAUAAAGGUGUUUUGCCUCAUCCUACACGUAAGUUUUCACAUUUUGCAUCUAUCGUUAAUUAGUUUUGCCUGCUAUAUUAUGCACUGA